GAUCAUGGCUCAGGAUGAACGCUGGCGGCAUGCUAAACACAUGCAAGUCGAACGGGAAGUGGUGUUUCCAGUGGCGAACGGGUGAGUAACGCGUAAGAACCUGCCCUUGGGAGGGGAACAACAACUGGAAAUGGUUGCUAAUACCCCGUAGGCUGAGGAGCAAAAGGAGAAAUCCGCCCAAGGAGGGGCUCGCGUCUGAUUAGCUAGUUGGUGAGGCAAUAGCUUACCAAGGCGAUGAUCAGUAG
RNAcentral lists this ribosomal RNA (245 nucleotides) under uncultured bacterium. Its description in RNAcentral is "partial 16S ribosomal RNA". It matches the Rfam family "Bacterial small subunit ribosomal RNA", at positions 15 to 286 of the family's 1533-position model. The record is from RNAcentral.